Molecule: long non-coding RNA, 342 nt
Filed under: Phoenix dactylifera (date palm)
Lineage: Eukaryota; Viridiplantae; Streptophyta; Magnoliopsida; Arecales; Arecaceae
Description: long non-coding RNA (PDAC_LNC003459)
Source: RNAcentral
UUGGAUUGUGGUGCCUCAGCAACUUGUCGUGGAGGUGGGCGUGAACAUCGUCUACAUGGUCACGGGCGGAAAAUCUCUAAAGAAGUUCCAUGAUGUUGUCUGCCCUGACUGCAAAAACAUCAAAGUGACCUAUUUCAUCAUGAUCUUCGCCUCACUGCACUUUGUUCUCUCCCAACUGCCCAACUUCAACUCAAUUUCGGGUGUCUCCUUGGCAGCUGCUGUCAUGUCCCUCAGGCAUAUACUCUUCUCUAUGAUGCCAAAGCACCUGAUUAUUCUUUCUGACUCUAUAUUGCUACAUGUUGGGUAACAUUAUUUUAGAAAUCAUUAGUGACAGUAUCUUUA